Molecule: non-coding RNA, 94 nt
Organism: Lyophyllum atratum
Lineage: Eukaryota; Fungi; Basidiomycota; Agaricomycetes; Agaricales; Lyophyllaceae
Source: the annotation of a GenBank genome assembly
GCCCCGCUGGUGUACCUGGUAUAGCACGCCCCGUAUACGUGUACUUCCACUUAUCACGCUUAGGGAGGAGCUCGUUCGAUUCGGGCGCGGGGCA